This 130-nucleotide unclassified non-coding RNA is filed under the name soil metagenome. RNAcentral's name for it is "partial internal transcribed spacer 1". The record is from RNAcentral.
GUGAAUUAAUAGAGCGUCCUUUGGGAGCUCGAACAUCACUCUUAAACACCCACCGUGAACUGUAACCGUUUUUUUUACGCAUACAAGUAAAUAGCAAGUCUCCUGUGUAUUGCAGGUAAUAUAAAUAAAU